RNAcentral lists this ribosomal RNA (253 nucleotides) under uncultured bacterium. Its description in RNAcentral is "partial 16S ribosomal RNA". It matches the Rfam family "Bacterial small subunit ribosomal RNA", at positions 524 to 776 of the family's 1533-position model. The record is from RNAcentral.
UACGUAGGGGGCAAGCGUUAUCCGGAAUUACUGGGUGUAAAGGGAGCGUAGACGGUAAUGUAAGUCUGGAGUAAAAGGCGGGGGCCCAACCCCCGGACUGCUCUGGAAACUAUGUUACUAGAGUGCAGGAGAGGUAAGCGGAAUUCCUAGUGUAGCGGUGAAAUGCGUAGAUAUUAGGAGGAACACCAGUGGCGAAGGCGGCUUACUGGACUGUAACUGACGUUGAGGCUCGAAAGCGUGGGGAGCAAACAGG